RNAcentral lists this ribosomal RNA (425 nucleotides) under uncultured bacterium. RNAcentral's name for it is "partial 16S ribosomal RNA". It matches the Rfam family "Bacterial small subunit ribosomal RNA", at positions 354 to 796 of the family's 1533-position model. The record is from RNAcentral.
GUGGGGAAUAUUGGACAAUGGGCGCAAGCCUGAUCCAGCCAUGCCGCGUGAGUGAUGAAGGCCCUAGGGUUGUAAAGCUCUUUCACCGAUGAAGAUAAUGACGGUAGUCGGAGAAGAAGCCCCGGCUAACUUCGUGCCAGCAGCCGCGGUAAUACGAAGGGGGCUAGCGUUGUUCGGAAUUACUGGGCGUAAAGCGCACGUAGGCGGAUAUUUAAGUCAGGGGUGAAAUCCCAGAGCUCAACUCUGGAACUGCCUUUGAUACUGGGUAUCUCGAGUAUGGAAGAGGUGAGUGGAAUUCCGAGUGUAGAGGUGAAAUUCGUAGAUAUUCGGAGGAACACCAGUGGCGAAGGCGGCUCACUGGUCCGGUACUGACGCUGAGGUGCGAAAGCGUGGGGAGCAAACAGGAUUAGAAACCCUUGUAGUCC